GAUUUUGUAAGUUAAUAUAAACUGUAAAGCUGUUAACUUUAAUAUGCUAUUUUGCCAGAGUCU
RNAcentral lists this transfer RNA (63 nucleotides) under Aglaiogyrodactylus forficulatus. Its description in RNAcentral is "tRNA-Asn". Lineage: Eukaryota; Metazoa; Platyhelminthes; Monogenea; Gyrodactylidea; Oogyrodactylidae. The record is from RNAcentral.